UAGGGCAUCACGAACCAUCCUGCUUCAAGGGAGCCUGCGGGUCUUUGACUGCAGCUUCAGCUAUGACCUGGAGUUCCCGGCUUCUCUGUGGGGCACCAGUCUGUAUGCUCCAUGUUAGAUAAUAAAAUGGCAUAUUCUGGGGUGGGCAGGAUCCAGGAUUCACCUGCAGAUGAACAGGGCAGGAAAAGCUUGAUAUGGGGUGUCGGGGGAAUCUGGUUGGCUUUAAAGGGAAUUUGGGGUCCUGUUCCUGAAUUUGGUAGGCAGCAUGCACGUAAGACUGAAGUGGGUUUGGCCAGAGCAUGGGCUGGAGUGCUUCCACCCUGCUACACGGACAAUGCCACAGUCUCACUUUUCCUAACUUUUUUUUUUUAAAUAAAAUGUUGUGAACAACA
RNAcentral lists this long non-coding RNA (392 nucleotides) under Pan troglodytes (chimpanzee). Its description in RNAcentral is "lincRNA". The record is from RNAcentral. Lineage: Eukaryota; Metazoa; Chordata; Mammalia; Primates; Hominidae.